This 695-nucleotide ribosomal RNA is filed under the name uncultured bacterium. RNAcentral's name for it is "bacterial SSU rRNA". It matches the Rfam family "Bacterial small subunit ribosomal RNA", at positions 111 to 823 of the family's 1533-position model. The record is from RNAcentral.
UAACGCGUGGAUAACCUGCCGUAUGCAGGGGGAUAACAGUUGGAAACAGCUGCUAAUACCGCAUAAGCGCACGGUGCCGCAUGGUACAGUGCGAAAAGAUUUAUCGGCAUACGAUGGAUCCGCGUCCGAUUAGCCAGUUGGCGGGGUAACGGCCCACCAAAGCGACGAUCGGUAGCCGGCCUGAGAGGGCGGACGGCCACAUUGGGACUGAGACACGGCCCAAACUCCUACGGGAGGCAGCAGUGGGGAAUAUUGCACAAUGGGGGGAACCCUGAUGCAGCGACGCCGCGUGAGUGAAGAAGUAUCUCGGUACGUAAAGCUCUAUCAGCAGGGAAGAAAAUGACGGUACCUGACUAAGAAGCCCCGGCUAACUACGUGCCAGCAGCCGCGGUAAUACGUAGGGGGCAAGCGUUAUCCGGAUUUACUGGGUGUAAAGGGAGCGUAGACGGCACUGCAAGUCCGGAGUGAAAGCCCAAGGCUUAACCAUGGGACUGCUCUGGAAACUGUGGAGCUUGAGUGCGGGAGGGGCAGGCGGAAUUCCUAGUGUAGCGGUGAAAUGCGUAGAUAUUAGGAGGAACACCGGCGGCGAAGGCGGCCUGCUGGACCGUAACUGACGUUGAGGCUCGAAAGCGUGGGGAGCAAACAGGAUUAGAUACCCUGGUAGUCCACGCCGUAAAACGAUGAUUACCAGGUGU